RNAcentral lists this long non-coding RNA (366 nucleotides) under Carica papaya (papaya). Its description in RNAcentral is "long non-coding RNA (CPAP_LNC012629)". Lineage: Eukaryota; Viridiplantae; Streptophyta; Magnoliopsida; Brassicales; Caricaceae. The record is from RNAcentral.
UGUGAGUUUAUUGCUUCUGCUAUCUAUUUUCUACAUCGCCGGCACAAGCAGUGCUUACUCGAGACCCAGUUCAAGCUACAUUCAGAAGUCGUGCAAGGCCACGACUUUCCCCGCCGUGUGUUUGCAGACUCUAUCGGCGUACUCCAGCAAGAUCCAGCAGAGUCCGCAGAACCUGGCCCUGACUGCUUUAUCUGUGAGCUUGUCCAGGGCGCAGUACGCUAAGGGGUUCGUGUCCAAGAUGACUAAGUUCAAGGGACUCAAGAGGAGGGAGUAUCAGGCCAUUAAGGACUGUGUUGAGGAGAUGGAUGACACGGUGGACCGGCUGAGCAAGGCGGCCCAGGAGUUGCAGCGUUUGAGUGGGUUCAG